AUUGGAAUUCCUCUAGAUAGACGGAUCCCAUCCCUGGAGAAGUGUACAUUGGUGUGGCUAUAUGCCAUCUCAGUGGCUUUCCCUGGUUUUGGAGACAGUCCCUGAGCAGAAAAGCUGGAGAGUCUUUGGUAGAAGCUUGAGUUUGGGAAUCUGGCACUGCACUCAGAAGCAGAACUGCCCACCAUAGCAGAGCUAAAAUCAGAAUAUUUCCUGGGGAAUGUGAAACCUUCAUCCGCUGCUGGUGCGAGUGUGAGCUGGUGCAGCCAUUCUGAAGCUAUUUUGAAUUGGAUGUUGUCAUUUGCAAUGAAAGGAGUCCAGAUACAAAGGCACGUAUAUUUCCCAUUUUAAGUGACUGAACAAGAGAAGUAAAUCUUCUGAAUGGAAUGCAGCAAGCUCACAAAGUCCUGCUUCCUUUAGAAAAUCACCCUGCAAUGUACAUCACAAAUGAGAUAAUUCUCCUAGACUAAGUCCUAAAGUAGUGAUUUUUAUAAAGGGCGUGGUAAAGGAUUUUGGGGAGAGGAGAAAGUUGUGUAUGCUUGGGAAAUAAUGUACUCAAUACAAUAAUAUAUUAAGCAAUGAAAUAUAAAGCAACAUAAUAUUAUAUACAUAAAAUAUUCUGUAUUAUACUGAAUAAUAAAAAUAUAUAUUUAUUUU
RNAcentral lists this long non-coding RNA (654 nucleotides) under Homo sapiens (human). RNAcentral describes it as "HSALNT0072450". The record is from RNAcentral. Lineage: Eukaryota; Metazoa; Chordata; Mammalia; Primates; Hominidae.